Molecule: ribosomal RNA, 85 nt
Filed under: Alphaproteobacteria bacterium
Lineage: Bacteria; Pseudomonadati; Pseudomonadota; Alphaproteobacteria
Description: partial 16S ribosomal RNA
Rfam family: Bacterial small subunit ribosomal RNA
Source: RNAcentral
UCAACCAGAGAGUAUGAUCCUGGCUCAGAACGAACGCUGGCGCCAUGCCUAACACAUGCAAGUCGAACGGCUCUUCGGAGCAGUG